Molecule: transfer RNA, 77 nt
Filed under: Clostridiales bacterium
Lineage: Bacteria; Bacillati; Bacillota; Clostridia; Eubacteriales
Description: tRNA-Met
Rfam family: tRNA
About the family: Transfer RNA (tRNA) molecules are approximately 80 nucleotides in length. Their secondary structure includes four short double-helical elements and three loops (D, anti-codon, and T loops).
Source: RNAcentral
GGCGGCAUAGCUCAGCUGGCUAGAGCACUCGGUUCAUACCCGGGGUGUCACAGGUUCAAAUCCGGUUGCCGCUACCA